UGAGUAACACGUAUCCAACCUGCCGUCUACUCUUGGACAGCCUUCUGAAAGGAAGAUUAAUACAAGAUGGCAUCAUGAGUCCGCAUGUUCACAUGAUUAAAGGUAUUCCGGUAGACGAUGGGGAUGCGUUCCAUUAGAUAGUAGGCGGGGUAACGGCCCACCUAGUCUUCGAUGGAUAGGGGUUCUGAGAGGAAGGUCCCCCACAUUGAAACUGAGACACGGUCCAA
Molecule: ribosomal RNA, 227 nt
Filed under: uncultured bacterium
Lineage: Bacteria
Description: partial 16S ribosomal RNA
Rfam family: Bacterial small subunit ribosomal RNA
Source: RNAcentral